RNAcentral lists this ribosomal RNA (515 nucleotides) under uncultured bacterium. RNAcentral's name for it is "partial 16S ribosomal RNA". It matches the Rfam family "Bacterial small subunit ribosomal RNA", at positions 28 to 523 of the family's 1533-position model. The record is from RNAcentral.
GAUGAACGCUGGCGGCGUGCCUAAUACAUGCAAGUCGAGCGAAUGGAUUAAGAGCUUGCUCUUAUGAAGUUAGCGGCGGACGGGUGAGUAACACGUGGGUAACCUGCCCAUAAGAUUGGGAUAACUCCGGGAAACCGGGGCUAAUACCGGAUAACAUUUUGAACCGCAUGGUUCGAAAUUGAAAGGCGGCUUCGGCUGUCACUUAUGGAUGGACCCGCGUCGCAUUAGCUAGUUGGUGAGGUACCGGCUCACCAAGGCAACGAUGCGUAGCCGACCUGAGAGGGUGAUCGGCCAGACUGGGACGGAGACACGGCCCAGACUCCUACGGGAGGCAGCAGUAGGGAAUCUUCCGCAAUGGACGAAAGUCUGACGGAGCAACGCCGCGUGAGUGAUGAAGGCUUUCGGGUCGUAAAACUCUGUUGUUAGGGAAGAACAAGUGCUAGUUGAAUAAGCUGGCACCUUGACGGUACCUAACCAGAAAGCCACGGCUAACUACGUGCCAGCCGCCGCGGUAA